UACGUAGGGGGCAAGCGUUGUCCGGAUUUAUUGGGCGUAAAGAGCUCGUAGGCGGCUUAGUAAGUCGGGUGUGAAACCUCCAGGCUCAACCUGGAGACGCCACCCGAUACUGCUGUGGCUAGAGUCCGGUAGGGGAGCGUGGAAUUCCUGGUGUAGCGGUGAAAUGCGCAGAUAUCAGGAGGAACACCAGCGGCGAAGGCGGCGCUCUGGGCCGGUACUGACGCUGAGGAGCGAAAGCGUGGGGAGCAAACAGG
RNAcentral lists this ribosomal RNA (254 nucleotides) under uncultured bacterium. Its description in RNAcentral is "partial 16S ribosomal RNA". It matches the Rfam family "Bacterial small subunit ribosomal RNA", at positions 524 to 776 of the family's 1533-position model. The record is from RNAcentral.